CCUAACUACAGUUUAUGUGACUACAGUUAAUCCUUAGUGGAUUAAACUGGAUGUUUUCUGCAGUGUUUUUCCUGUUUCACACUUCAGGGAUGUUGAGAAUGUCAGCGCUGUUUCAUCUGGAUUGAAUCAGUAGUUUGUGUCGAAUGGCUCGUGCUGGAUCUCACAGCUGUGUUUAAUCUGUGAUUGCUCUUUCUUCCGGUGCAGAGGAGCGCGUGUGAUUUCGUUCCGCUUUUGGAGUUUGGACACUUCUCAUGCACAAUAGAAAUAAAUGGCAGCACUUGUGUGGCUCCCGUGCGACCGAUAACAAACUUCAGUCUCACCGGCAGAAAAAAAAAAAGAAAAAAAAAAAACAUUUGCAAAAUAUGACCGAAUAGUCUGGAUCCCUGCCACUUCAGAGAACCUGUCAGACUUGUUGAGCGUAGCUUUCUUAGCAAAACAAAAGGCAGGACACAGCUACUUUUAAAGCGUUUUCUAAACUAACUGAUCAUCAGCAAAAACGACUUGUCUUUAUGUUCUUAGUUUUGUUUAUACGGGUAACUUGAGUAAAAGAUAUUUAAAGUUAGGCUACAUUUGGUUUUAGGUUGCAUGAUGAAAUUAACCAAGACGAAAACAAACUCGCUCCUCACACUGAUUCUGCUGUUUCACACCAUGUCUGAGCAAGCAGGAGCUUCUCAUGAUGAUGAUGAUGACGAGGUGAGGAUCCUGAUGGUGGGAAUCCGAGGUCAGUCCAGAUUCAGUGCUGCAGAUCUUCUGUCAGGAAGGAAAGACGGUGGACAGGAGGACAGAGAGAUUGUAAAGACUCCAGUAAUUACAGACGAGGCUCGUAGAAUGAUGCUGAUCACUGGACCGAACCUCUGUGAGGAGGACACAGCGAGACAGACCUUCAUAACAGCGCUGUUUCUCUCGUCUCCUGGACCUCACGCCGUUCUAAUGCUCCUGAAUCUGGAAGAUCAACAAUCACAACAGUGUGAUAUUGUGAAACGAGCUCAGGAGCUGCUGGGAGCAGAAGUCCUGCAGUACUGCAUUGUUCUUCUGCUGCAAAAUCACCAGGAACCUUUCACAGGAGCCUCCAGAGAAAUGAUCGACGCAUGUGGAGGAAGAUUUCUCAUCAUAAGAGACUCUGAACCUAAACCUGCUCAAAGAGCAGCUCUCGUAGCAGAAAUACACAAGUUAGUUUGGCUCAACGAUCACAGAUUUUACUCAGUAGUGACUCAAGGGUUGGAUGCAGAAGAGUCCAGUCAAAGUGUGCAUGAAGAAAAUAAGAUGCUCCCUGAAAAACAUGACAAUUCAGCAGGAACUGCACGAUGGAUUUUACUAAUUUUACUGAACACUGCUUUUAUUUUCACUAAAGUAAGACAUGACCAUUUUCAUUUUGCGGAAAUACUCUUCGUGCUUGUUAUUUUUACCGUCACUUUAAGAGAGACUCUCAAUCCAGAUGUUUCUGUUCCUUUAAAUUUGAUUGUAUCCUCAACUUUCACAGUAGCCUCUGCAUAUAAAGACUUCGCAAAUUCACGACAUGGACACCAAAUCAUAAUGUUUUUAGUCAUGAUCUUUACAUUUCCCAGUAUAGUGUUCAUAGCCGGUCUAGGACUGACUGUAGGAACAGCGGUCAGUGUACGGACGUGGUCAGAUGUGAUCAUAGCGUGCCACGCUGCUCCCGGAGUCACAUUCGGGGCUCAUUUAUACACGGUUUACUCCAUUAUACCUGAUCAAAUGCAAGCUCGUACAACUCUCAUUUUUGCACUCAAGUUAUUCCUGUUCUGUUUCGUUGGAGUGACGAUCUCGAUGGGGUUUGUGACUGUAUUUGCUCUGUUUGGAGUGAAGAUGACAAUAUUUCUGCUAAUAUUAGGAUUUACAAAAAUGUAUUUCCAUUUAAGGAGUCUUUCUCUGAAAUUGUUUAUUUUUUUCCUGCUUUUUCCAUGCUGUUGUGUAUUUAUUGGUUCUUUAAUUUCAUUUUUAUACAGUUUAUUAUUUCAUUAUAUUUUAACAGUAAUUUGAAACCGAUAAUAGUGACUAAAUCACAAGAGACACUUACAGAUUUUGGAUCAUAAGUUAAUGCUGAUAUUGAUAUUGAUGUUUCUUCAACUAUGGGUAUUUUUGGCACUGUGUACUUUCAGGAAAUAAUCUCUCUUACAACCCAUCUUAUUUCUUUACUAACGAGCAUUUAACAUCAAUAAAGACAUCACAGGAAAAUCUUGAACA
Molecule: long non-coding RNA, 2202 nt
Organism: Cyprinus carpio (common carp)
Lineage: Eukaryota; Metazoa; Chordata; Actinopteri; Cypriniformes; Cyprinidae
Source: Ensembl